UACGUAGGGUGCAAGCGUUGUCCGGAAUUAUUGGGCGUAAAGAGCUCGUAGGCGGUCUGUCACGUCUGCUGUGAAAACUCGGGGCUUAACCCCGGGCCUGCAGUGGGUACGGGCAGACUAGAGUGCGGUAGGGGAGACUGGAAUUCCUGGUGUAGCGGUGAAAUGCGCAGAUAUCAGGAGGAACACCGGUGGCGAAGGCGGUUCUCUGGGCCUGUACUGACGCUGAGGAACGAAAGCGUGGGGAGCGAACAGG
RNAcentral lists this ribosomal RNA (253 nucleotides) under uncultured bacterium. Its description in RNAcentral is "partial 16S ribosomal RNA". It matches the Rfam family "Bacterial small subunit ribosomal RNA", at positions 524 to 776 of the family's 1533-position model. The record is from RNAcentral.